UUUCAAUUAAGUUUCUUUUAAUAAAUGAGGUCUUUCAGAGUAAUGAGUCUCUUUACCGGGCAUUUUAUCAUGUUUGUUAGUAACGUCUCUAUCCUACGGGAACGGGGUGUUACACAAACUGUGAAACUAGGCUCUUGGAGCCUAUUUGAGGCCAUAAAGGGCUUUGUGAAGUCUACACACAUAAUUUGGAUAAUGGGAGUCUACAAAACCUUUUGGUUGUUCCAUGUAUACUUCCUCAGAAAGUUGUCCAUGCAAGAAGGCAUUUGAAACAUCCAGUUGUUUAAGUGGCCACUUGAACUGAAAAGCUACUGCCAAGAGAAGUCUUAUAGUUGCUAGCUUGAUAACAGGGCUAGAGACCAAGUUUUGUUUCCCAGCAAGGCAUUGAAUUCACUCUCCAUAGCAGCCAUCCAAAGGGAAUUUGAAGAAGCCUGAAGGAAGGUAGUGGGCUCACUAGGUAAUGAAACUGCAAUAAGGGCUUUUAAUGGGUGCUUGGCUGAAUAAUAUAAUUGAAAAUCUGAAAAGUCUUUGGGUUUGAGAUUGCCAGUUUGGGACCUAGUGAUUAUACGAGAUGAUGGUUGUUCAGGAGGUUGGACUUGGCUUAGAGAGGUGGUAUUUGUGGAUGGUAGAGUUUUUAAUGUAGGCUGAGAUUGUUGACCAAGUAGUUCAGGAAGUGUAUUGAUCUGUGAAGUGCUCUCUGGUGAAUUACUUGAAGAAGGCAUAUGUAUUGCAUGAGAAUUUUGAGAAGAAAUGCUAUCAUUUAUAGUAACACCAGAACAAUCAACAAUAGAAUGAUCAAUAUGAAUUUGGGAGUCAUUAACAAGAAAUAUACUUGGAGGAGGAUGGUUACUGACAGAAGAUCCAGAAAUGGUCUUGUCCAGUGAAGGAAAUAGAAGUUCAUCAAAUAUCACAUGUCUUGAGAUGAAUAUCUUUUAGGAGAUUGGAUCAAGGCAUCUGUAACCUUUGUGACUGGAGCUGUAGCCAAGGAAAAUGCAUUGCUUGCUGCGAAAUUCAAGUUUAUGCUUGGUAUAUGACCUAAGAUAGGGGUAACAUGCACAACCAAAGGCUCUUAAGUGAGUGUAAUCAACUCUAAGGUUAAACAAUUUGGUAUAUGGGAUUGAGAACUGAAUGGAUGAAGAGGGUAAUCUGUUUACUAGAUACACAACAGUUUGACAGGCUUCAAGCUAGUAACUUGUAGGAAGUUUGGAUUGAUCUAAGAGAGUGAGACUUGUUUCUAUGAUGUGUCUAUGUUUUCUCUCGGCAAUGCCAUUUUGCUGAGGUGUAUGUGAACAUGAGAUUUUAUAAUGAAUUCCAUGAGAAGACAGAAACUUGAUGAGAUAAGUAUUCCCCUCCUCCAUCAGUUUGAAGUUGGUGAAUCUUAAUGGAAAGUUGGUUCUCAAUGAGACAUUUAAACUUAGCAAAACAAAUAAAGGGGUCUGAUUUCAAUUUAAAAGGAAACAACCAUGUAUAGCUAGAGUAGUCAUCCACAAACACAACAUAAUACUUGAAUCCAUUUAUUGACAUGAUUGGUGAGGUCCAGAUAUCACUAUGAACUAACUCUAAAGGUGAGUUGGUUACAUGAGUUGACAUUGGAAAGGGCAGAUGCCUACUUUUGCUCAUUUGGCAAGAAUUACAUAAGGUGGAUUCUUUAUUGGUUCGGGA
Molecule: long non-coding RNA, 1659 nt
Organism: Carya illinoinensis
Lineage: Eukaryota; Viridiplantae; Streptophyta; Magnoliopsida; Fagales; Juglandaceae
Exons: 2
Source: RefSeq, a predicted model, not a curated record